Molecule: small RNA, 89 nt
Filed under: Enterococcus canis
Lineage: Bacteria; Bacillati; Bacillota; Bacilli; Lactobacillales; Enterococcaceae
Description: BsrC
Rfam family: BsrC
About the family: The 301 nucleotide sequence from Kouji Nakamura has been trimmed to a highly conserved ~85 nucleotide long core to form this family.
Source: Rfam by way of RNAcentral
UCUCGUUUAAACGACGCAUUCCCAAACCUCUAAUACGUCCUUGUAACCCUUUAGUUACGCCAGUUUUGAAUAAACUUCUUCAAAAGAAG